GUUGCAGGGUAUAGACCCGAAACCCGGUGAUCUAGCCAUGGGCAGGUUGAAGGUUGGGUAACACUAACUGGAGGACCGAACCGACUAAUGUUGAAAAAUUAGCGGAUGACCUGUGGCUGGGGGUGAAAGGCCAAUCAAACCGGGAGAUAGCUGGUUCUCCCCGAAAGCUAUUUAGGUAGCGCCUCGUGAAUUCAUCUCCGGGGGUAGAGCACUGUUUCGGCUAGGGGGCCAUCCCGGCUUACCAACCCGAUGCAAACUGCGAAUACCGGAGAAUGUUAUCACGGGAGACACACGGCGGGUGCUAACGUCCGUCGUGAAGAGGGAAACAACCCAGACCGCCAGCUAAGGUCCCAAAGUCAUGGUUAAGUGGGAAACGAUGUGGGAAGGCCCAGACAGCCAGGAUGUUGGCUUAGAAGCAGCCAUCAUUUAAAGAAAGCGUAAUAGCUCACUGGUCGAGUCGGCCUGCGCGGAAGAUGUAACGGGGCUAAACCAUGCACCGAAGCUGCGGCAGCGACGCUUAUGCGUUGUUGGGUAGGGGAGCG
Molecule: ribosomal RNA, 542 nt
Filed under: Salmonella enterica
Lineage: Bacteria; Pseudomonadati; Pseudomonadota; Gammaproteobacteria; Enterobacterales; Enterobacteriaceae
Also listed under: 1 other name
Description: partial 23S ribosomal RNA
Rfam family: Bacterial large subunit ribosomal RNA
Source: RNAcentral